This is a long non-coding RNA of Hemicordylus capensis (graceful crag lizard), 3589 nucleotides long. RefSeq lists it as uncharacterized. Lineage: Eukaryota; Metazoa; Chordata; Lepidosauria; Squamata; Cordylidae. The record is from RefSeq and is a predicted model, not a curated record. The transcript is spliced from 11 exons.
CGCUCUGGAUGGUGAAGGCAGACCCCCUUGUACAUGGAGUCCUCUUUGGAAGAGACACAGCUCUAGGAAGGAGGCCGUUGUAUUUGGGGUCCAGAAAAGGAGGACUCCUCCUUGGGUCCUGUGGAGUUCACAGCAGCAAAGAAGGGAGUUCUGGAGAUGGGAAGGGUGUCCCAGGAGAGAUUUGGGAUGAUGCCCAUCCAGCCAUGGUGGGGAAGGCGGAGGUCUCUCAGGGGAACAGGGAUGUGACCGGAAAGGGAGAGAUCCCCGGAAGAACAGCAGGGGCUCCGAAGUUCCAAGGAGGGUCCUUGAAUCCAGAGGACCAGCAGCUGUUGAGUUGGCAUUUGGCUGGUAAUGUGUCCCCUUUGUGACAUCACCAGUCACUACGGGGUCCUGUGGAAGGAAUCAUCACUGGCUCCCUUGAAUGAAUAUGAGAGUGGAAGAGAGCGGGUGUCUGAGAGAGAGGCUGAGAGAGCAAAAGACCUUUAGAGCGAGAUUGAGGGAGACUGUGAGAGUGAUUAAGAGAGAGGAAGAAAGAGAGACUGAGUAGAAAGUAGAGGGAGAUUAUCGUAGCGGUUUGAGGUGGGGAUUUGUUGUUUGGGAUAGGGAUGGGGAGGCGGUUGAGGCUGGGGUUAGUUUCUGGUAGUUUUUUGUUUUUUUGCUUUUCAAGUUGAGUUAGAUUUAGUUAGUUAAGUCAGGGUUGGGUUUCAAAGUAUUCAUUGGAGAGGGAGGGACUGAGAGUGGUUGGGGUUAGUCUUGGUUUUGUUUGGGGUGUUUUGGUUUUUGCUGUUCUGUUUGAGUUAGAUUUAGUUAGGUUCAGUGUUAGUGUUAGGUGUGGUUGAAAUCCUUCGGAGAAGAACGAUGAUUCUGUUGAUUAUGCUGGGCAGGAUCCGAGCCUCCCUGGCCAGGAGGACCAGCAGAGUGGCCCCCCUGGAUGCCCCAGGGGAGCCCACAGCCUCCAGGCCAGCUGCCGGCCCAUGAUGGUGCAUCUGUGGGCGGAGGAACCGGGUGGCCCCCGCUGCCUCCCUCGCUGCUGCCAGCUGAGGAGAGCAGCAAGCCAGGGCCAUCAGAGCCACUUGCACAGGAUGCUGGAGCUUUCACAGCCUGCCCCAUGAUUACUGCCAGGCUCCAGAUGGUGAAACGGUCCAGAAUGCUGAAGGAAGGAGGAGUGAAGGAGAGGAGGGCCUGGAUAGAAUUCCUGAUGGCUGUCAUCCUUGCGUGUCAGGGAGCCCCCCGGAGAGGGGAGCGGCGCUUCCCCUUCUCUAAGGGAUUAGCAGCCCAGGACAUGCUGGAGGAGAUGGACAAUAUUUGGGAGGACCCUGUGCCCCACCAGCUGCUCUCUCUCUGUACGGAGGCCAUCACCUCCUUGAGUUGGAUGAAGCCCCGCUUUGGAGAGAAGACUGAAAAAAAAAGUGAUAUUGGAUUUCCUCUUCUGGAUUAGCCACAUGGUUGGAGAAAGACAAGGAACUAAGUAUUGAUGGAGCCCCCACAACCCCCCACCUAGGAAAAGACACUGUCUGGGCCGGUGCCUCUUCGGUAGGGGGACCUGCAUAUCCCGUCCCCAUGGAGACAGUCACCUUGAGCCCCCAUGAGGGAAGAGGACAGGCAGGAUUCCUGGGAGUCCCCCAGGAGGGGCUGCAAAAUCCCCUCAGGCCAGCAGCAGCCACACUCUGGUUCUCUCUCCACUUCAGAGCCCAUUUUGGCCCUCCAAGAAGGCCCUGCAAAUCAUGCUACAAGGCCUCCUGGAAGAAAAGCCCACCCUGACCCACCUGAUCCAGAUGGCCAAUACUUGAUCACUUUCCAGAGACCUUUUGAAGCAUCACUUUUUAGGCCAUCGACGUGGAGAUCUACAGUGACAAUGAGCAGGAGGUGGUGGUAGCAGAGAGGGCUGGCCUGUUCCUCCUCAACCUCGCCAUUGGGCCCCCCUUCCACUUCAAGGUGGAGCAAAUCAAACCUCUGCUCCCGUUGACCAUUCACCAGGUGGAGAGGACGGCCAAGGGCGACGGCAGCCAUUUGUCCAGUGAAGAUGAUCUCUUCUGGGGAGCUCUCGAAUUCGGGGAUGACUGAGAACUCCGGGCAGACCUUAUGUCCCAAUUCAGCGGACUUCUUCAAGGAAAAAUAAGAGGACUCCAGGAACAAUGGUGUCCAGGAAUAUCCCACAGCCACCGCGAAGCCCAUAGCAACCCUGGCCAAAACAAAAAAAAAAACAGAAGAAGAGCUCCAUAUGUGCCAACAAGAUGAGGAGUGUUUUGCCCAGCUGGAGGCACACCGCUGUCUAGCAGGAGAUCAUCUCUAUAUGUUGCUGAACUUGGCAAAAAAGAGGAGCCGCUCAAGCGGGGAGAGAGAGAGAGCAGUGAGAGCCAGAGCACCCACCAGAGGAAUAUAGAAGUGCCUUCACCCCAAGCGCAUGAACAGGAGCCAGAGAUGCUUCCUCCUCGACAGCAACAGCCAGCCGAGGUCACCCCCAAGUGCUCCGUUUUCUUCACCCCAGGAGCGGAUCCCCAUGUGGUUCUUGCCCCCUUCAAACGGGCUGAGCAGAACCAGGAUCUCCAGGAGGGCAAGUCUGUGAGUGGUCUGGUCAACGGGGAUCUGGCCAAGGGCUGCAGCAGCAGACCAGAAGGAGAGGAUGUCACUGGUGUCAUGGCUGAAGAGCUGGUGCACCAAAAUCCUGGGUUUAAGCGAUUUUUUCUUAAAACACUGCAGCAAAUGCCAGGAAGAGCCACUGACUAGAGCAUUUGCAUAAUCAUUAAGAUGACAAGAGGAAAGCACACUUUAGGACUGCAAAUAGAACUGCCUUGCCUAGAUGAGCCCCUGGUGGCGCAGUGGUAAAAACUGCCACUCUGUAACCAGAAGGUUACAAGUUCGAUCCUGACCAGGGGCUCAAGGUUGACUCAGCCUUCCAUCCUUCCGAGGUCGGCAAAAUGAGUACCCAGAAUGUUGAGGGGCAAUAUGCUAAAUCAUUGUAAACUGCUUAGAGAGCUCCAGCUAUAGAGCGGUAUAUAAAUGUAAGUGCUAUUGCUAUUGCUAGAUGUGAAGAGGAGAAAAAUCAGCCUUCAGGAAGCAAACUCUUGGAAAGUUCUAGUUAUAAAAUCUCUGUGUAUGCUCAAGCUGUCUUUUUUGGAACAAUAUUCGCUGGCUUGCAUCAGGUUAUCACUGGUUUAAAAAGAGGUUUUACCAACAAACAGGUGUAAAGCACACCACACAUGUGCUGGGGAAAAGGGAAGAAAUCUGUUAGUGUAUACAAAGGCUCCCAGUCUAGGCCAUGAGGUUUGUGCCAGGAGAAUCUGUGUGCAGUGGAGACAUUGGCAGGAAAGUCCCUCUGAAGACAGGAGCGAAAAUCCUAGAUGGGACGGGCUGCACUGAGCCCCAAACCUGUGCCUAGACCAGGACCAGAGACUGCCCAGCAAGCCGGAGGCGGAAAAGAGAGAAAAGAAAGAGAACUCUGUGCAGGGAUCAGUGUAGGGUCAGGUAGUGGGUGAGCAUUUUCCAGCCUUUUGUUUUCCCUGGGAUGUUCUUGGGUUAAUUGUUUUUAGGGUUAGUGUAAAGUUGUGUCUUAAUGGAACUGAUUUCUUUUUAAGUAAACUUUUUUAUU